Molecule: ribosomal RNA, 490 nt
Filed under: uncultured bacterium
Lineage: Bacteria
Description: bacterial SSU rRNA
Rfam family: Bacterial small subunit ribosomal RNA
Source: RNAcentral
GAUGAACGCUAGCGGCAGGCCUAACACAUGCAAGUCGAGGGGCAUCAUGGCGUAGCAAUACGCUGAUGGCGACCGGCGCACGGGUGCGUAACGCGUAUGGAACCUACCCACCGCAGGGGGAUAACCCGCCGAAAGGCGGACUAAUACCCCGAUGGUUCCCCGACCCUGCCUGGGGUUGGGGGUAAAGCCUACGGGCGGCGGUGGAUGGCCCUGCGUGCCAUUAGCUGGCUGGUGGGGUAACGGCCCACCAGGGCGACGAUGGCUAGGGGGUCUGAGAGGACGAUCCCCCACACUGGUACUGAGACACGGACCAGACUCCUACGGGAGGCAGCAGUGAGGAAUAUUGGUCAAUGGGCGGAAGCCUGACCCAGCCAUGCCGCGUGAAGGAAGACGGCCUUAUGGGUUGUAAACUUCUUUACUACGCGAAUAGAGGUUAGUACGAGAUACUAAUAGGAAGGUAGUGUAGUAAAAAGCACCGGCUAACUCCGUG